Molecule: long non-coding RNA, 2624 nt
Organism: Drosophila sechellia
Lineage: Eukaryota; Metazoa; Arthropoda; Insecta; Diptera; Drosophilidae
Exons: 2
Source: RefSeq, a predicted model, not a curated record
AUGCGCUUGAGUUUUAAUUCGCCGACCCUCGUGAUUUACGGCCCUCGAGCUGAAUCAUGCAAUCAGUCAAAGCACUGCAAACUCACAUUUUACCGGCCCUCAAACGAGACAAACAUUAAGUACUUACCCACUGUAGUACACCAAAAAGCGAUGCACUACUGCCAAAUUGCUGAUGAACUGGCAACACACAUGGGCACACACACACAUACUCACACAGGCAACGUUUAUCGGGUGUUCCCAAUUAGUUAAGCAUUUCCACAAAUUCCAACAGAAACUCUAGCUCAGCGCCGUCCUUUUGCCGGUUGUCUCAGAUGUCUCGGCAGUUGUCGGUUGUGGCCAUAAUGAUUAUUAUUGUGCCAGUUGGGCCUACACAUUAAAAAAGGUAUCAUAAAGCGGAUUUUACCAAAAAAAAAUUUAAUUUAACUAAAUAUUAAUGAGAAGAGAAGCAGUUACGAUCUAUAUUUACAAAAUAACGAAUUGAAUAGAUCUCCUAUAUUUGUUUCCAUUGGCAUGAUGCUAAAAUAAUGUAAUUAUUAAACAAUAACCUUUUUAGAAUUUAUUAGUAAGAUUUCAUAAUUAUUGCUCAAUUUACUACCCCUUUCUCUCACUGCACGAGUAAAAUUUCCAGGCUUGUGUAUUGAUUUGGCUUGCAAUGCAAUAAUUACAUGGUUACAUGAGCGCAAUUUCCGUAACAUAACUCACGGAGGUCGUAUGCCCCCGCUUUACGCAUGCAACAUGUUGUCUGCCACAGGACCUCCAUACGCCCACCCUCUCCCCUCCACCGUCGUAUCCUGCCUUUGUUAACUAACCAUCGAACUACACACACAUGCGUGUUUGGCGAGAGUUCGCCUUGUUGACGAGUUGAUGAGAUGUUAAGAUUAUGUUAAUGAGUUCAUUAAAUCACAAGGAACAAGCAACCGCAUAGAGUUACAGACAGUUGGGCGGUUAGACUACUGAGGACUCUAGAGUUUCCGAGAUCUCUGAACUUGGGUCAGUUCUACUUGAGGUUUGCCGGACAUCGAUAUAUUGCCUCGCACUUUGUCACUUUACGGCUAAUUAGUAGACUUAAACUGCAGUUAAUUGACGAAUUUGAAUGCGAAAGUUAUCCAUUUAACGGAGUACUGCAUAAAUCGCACAAUGCCACAUUAAGUACCAAUCCAGUUUUCGAGUGCAGUAAUCGCCGAGUUGAACAACUGAAAUCACGUUCCCACGUUCGCCACUCGCGCAAAAUUUCAAUCUGAUCGAUUUGUGUAUUUGUCAAACUGAUUUAUCGAGUGUCUCGAUUUGAUGGCGUGGAAAUGACGACCCCCAGACCUCCACAUACACACACCCACAAACAAACACACACACACACGUACACCUGCCGUAAUGAUAUGCAAAUAGGAUGCCCUUUUCAGCUGCACCCGCAUGGGUUCGUAGUUCCAACGGCAUUGGCAUUGCUAUUGGCACACGCAUUCCAUCGGGGACACACGGAAAACCUCAUUUCAAUCUCGGCUGAGCCGCUCUGAGCUCCUGCAGCCAAACAUCCGUGCACACACAGCACGGUCCGGCGAACGGAGACGGAGUCAUUUGGCACACUUCCACCCUCCCACACUCACACACACCAAGCAACACACACACACAGCCAUUUGGAAGGAUUCUUCUCACAGCAUUGCUAUGGUGCACUGGAAAAAUCAGAGCUACUAAUCUGAACUAAUCUAAUCUGAUUUUUAGUUAUUCAACUUAUCAACUUAUAUAUCCUUUUUCCUAUAAAUUUCUAGUGAGAAAAGUCCUUACUUUGUCUGAAACUCUAAAUAAUAUUAACAGAUCCCCAAGAGCUCAUGAUAUAUAUUUCUUACUUUGUAUAAGAACUUCUAAUCCUUCGACCAAAGAUAUAUUAUAUAUUUAUAGGACCUCCUUUUCUCUCAGUGCACCGUACAGCAUUGAUGGGUAACUCCUGCUCUGGGAACGAAAGUCGAAUGCAUUUGGCCAAAGCCUUUGCACUGUAUUGGCUCCUUUAUGCACAUUCAAUUGGUGGUGUGGCUAAUCUAGCGAAAUUCCAGCCAGCUGAGAAGGACCAACCCCAACUAAACCGAAUCGCAGCUUAUUUGAGCGCCGGAAAAAAGGAGGACGAAAUAAAUUUUUCACCCAACGACCGAACGCCGCAUUGGGGUCAAUUUUAAAUUAUACACUUCCGCUUCCGUGCUCCGACAUUCGCUCGAUUGACGACGAUGACGAUGACGAUGGUCGUCGGUGGGAUGUGGGAUACGUCUUGCCUUGCCUUGGACUCGACGACUCCUGUGUAAAUAUUGAAAUCGAUUCAGUUUUCAUAAGCCGUCCGCCUCCGUGAGUCAGGUAAAGCUGCCCGGCUGGCUGACUGGCUGGCUGGCAUCCUGUUGGAGCAGCAAGGACUCCGGACUAAGGAGCAAGGACGAAGGACGAGGAGAUUCGGUCUGUGGUUUCGCCAACUACUUGUUAUGCUUCAUGUUUUUGCCAAGUUGUUGUUUCUGCGCUCCCCUUUUGGCUCUCAGUCGGCCUGUUUAUGCAAGUGGAUUACGGUGUUUGGAUCUGAUUAUAAAUCAUCUUUAUAAUCCGUAAAUCGUGUUUGGUUAACAUAAUGGAAUAAAUUUAUUUUAUUUAUUGCA